This 111-nucleotide microRNA precursor is filed under the name Gallus gallus (chicken). RNAcentral's name for it is "microRNA gga-mir-222b precursor". Its record names the gene gga-mir-222b. The stretch from base 11 to 97 matches the Rfam family "mir-221 microRNA precursor family". Lineage: Eukaryota; Metazoa; Chordata; Aves; Galliformes; Phasianidae. The record is from miRBase by way of RNAcentral.
GAGACACGGUGCCCUUGGCUGCUCAGUAGUCAGUGUAGGAUCUGUCCGACAGUCUCACUAACAGCUACAUCUGAUUACUGGGUCACCAAAGGACCACCACCGCGCUGCAUG